UACGGAGGAUGCGAGCGUUGUCCGGAAUUAUUGGGUGUAAAGGGCGCGUAGGCGGCUAAGUAAGUCAAACGUGAAAACUACAGGCUCAACUUGUAGCUUGCGUUUGAAACUGCAUAGCUUGAGUAAAGUAGAGGUAAGUGGAAUUUCCAGUGUAGCGGUGAAAUGCGUAGAUAUUGGAAGGAACACCAGUGGCGAAGGCGACUUACUGGGCUUUUACUGACGCUGAGGCGCGAAAGCGUGGGUAGCAAAC
This 250-nucleotide ribosomal RNA is filed under the name uncultured prokaryote. Its description in RNAcentral is "partial 16S ribosomal RNA". It matches the Rfam family "Bacterial small subunit ribosomal RNA", at positions 524 to 773 of the family's 1533-position model. The record is from RNAcentral.